AGCGAACGCUGGCGGCAGGCUUAACACAUGCAAGUCGAGCGGGCACUUUCGGGUGUCAGCGGCGGACGGGUGAGUAACGCGUGGGAACGUGCCCUCUGGUUCGGAAUAACUCAGGGAAACUUGAUCUAAUACCGGAUACGCCCUUUUGGGGAAAGGCUUGCUGCCGGAGGAUCGGCCCGCGUCUGAUUAGCUAGUUGGUGAGGUAACGGCUCACCAAGGCGACGAUCAGUAGCUGGUCUGAGAGGAUGAUCAGCCACACUGGGACUGAGACACGGCCCAGAAUCCUACGGGAGGCAGCAGUGGGGAAUAUUGGACAAUGGGCGCAAGCCUGAUCCAGCCAUGCCGCGUGAGUGAUGAAGGCCUUAGGGUUGUAAAGCUCUUUUAUCCGGGACGAUAAUGACGGUACCGGAGGAAUAAGCCCCGGCUAACUUCGUG
This 435-nucleotide ribosomal RNA is filed under the name uncultured bacterium. RNAcentral describes it as "partial 16S ribosomal RNA". It matches the Rfam family "Bacterial small subunit ribosomal RNA", at positions 29 to 507 of the family's 1533-position model. The record is from RNAcentral.